UUUUCAUGGUUGUCGAGGGGAAUGACGCCGGGUCUGAAAGAAAGAAGGGGGCACGCCGGGAAUGACAGCGGUUCCCUAGCUCUUUCGGACCAGGCUUCAUUCCCCAUGACUCGACCAUGG
This is a non-coding RNA of Brachypodium distachyon (stiff brome), 120 nucleotides long. NCBI's taxonomy places the organism in Eukaryota, Viridiplantae, Streptophyta, Magnoliopsida, Poales, Poaceae. The record is from RefSeq and is marked provisional.